GACGGAUAGGGGACCUGAGAGGGUGACCCCCCACACUGGAACUGACACACGGUCCAGACUCCUACGGGAGGCAGCAGUAAGGAAUAUUGCGCAAUGGAGGCAACUCUGACGCAGCAACGCCGCGUGCGGGAAGAAGGUCUUCGGAUCGUAAACCGCUUUUCUGAGGGAAGAGCAAGGACGGUACCUCAGGAAUAAGUCUCGGCUAACUACGUGCCAGCAGCCGCGGUAAAACGUAGGAGGCAAGCGUUAUCCGGAUUUACUGGGCGUAAAGCGCGUGCAGGCGGU
RNAcentral lists this ribosomal RNA (285 nucleotides) under uncultured bacterium. RNAcentral describes it as "partial 16S ribosomal RNA". It matches the Rfam family "Bacterial small subunit ribosomal RNA", at positions 278 to 579 of the family's 1533-position model. The record is from RNAcentral.